GUAAGGAAUAUUGGUCAAUGGACGCAAGUCUGAACCAGCCAUGCCGCGUGGAGGAUGAAGGUCCUCUGGAUUGUAAACUUCUUUUAUCUGGGACGAAAAAAGGGAAUUCUUUCUCGUCUGACGGUACCAGAUGAAUAAGCACCGGCUAACUCCGUGCCAGCAGCCGCGGUAAUACGGAGGGUGCAAGCGUUAUCCGGAUUCACUGGGUUUAAAGGGUGCGUAGGCGGGUAUGUAAGUCCGUGGUGAAAUCUCCGAGCUUAACUCGGAAACUGCCAUGGGUACUGCGUAUCUUGAAUGUUGUGGAGGUGAGCGGAAUAUGUCAUGUAGCGGUGAAAUGCUUAGAUAUGACAUAGAACACCAAUUGCGAAGGCAGCUCACUACACAAAUAUUGACGCUGAGGCACGAAAGCGUGGGGAUCAAACAGGAUUAGAAACCCGAGUAGUCC
RNAcentral lists this ribosomal RNA (445 nucleotides) under uncultured bacterium. RNAcentral's name for it is "partial 16S ribosomal RNA". It matches the Rfam family "Bacterial small subunit ribosomal RNA", at positions 354 to 796 of the family's 1533-position model. The record is from RNAcentral.